This 497-nucleotide ribosomal RNA is filed under the name uncultured bacterium. RNAcentral describes it as "partial 16S ribosomal RNA". It matches the Rfam family "Bacterial small subunit ribosomal RNA", at positions 28 to 507 of the family's 1533-position model. The record is from RNAcentral.
GAUGAACGCUGGCGGCGUGCCUAAUACAUGCAAGUCGAGCGAACAGAUGAGGAGCUUGCUCCUCUGACGUUAGCGGCGGACGGGUGAGUAACACGUGGAUAACCUACCUAUAAGACUGGGAUAACUUCGGGAAACCGGAGCUAAUACCGGAUAAUAUAUUGAACCGCAUGGUUCAAUAGUGAAAUACGGUUUUGCUGUCACUUAUAGCUGGAUCCGCGCCGCAUUAGCUAGUUGGUAAGGUAACGGCUUACCAAGGCAACGAUGCGUAGCCGACCUGAGAGGGGGAUAGGCCACACUGGAGCUGAGACACGCUCCAGACUCCUACGGGAGGCAGCAGUAGGGAACCGGCCGCAAUGGGGGAAAGCCUGACGGAGCAGCGCCGCGUGAGUGAUGAAGGUCUUGGGAUCGUAAAGCUCUGUUAUUAGGGAAGAACAAAUGUGUAAGUAACUAUGCACGUCUUGACGGUACCUAAUCAGAAAGCCACGGCUAACUACGUG